This 76-nucleotide transfer RNA is filed under the name Deltaproteobacteria bacterium. Its description in RNAcentral is "tRNA-Arg". It matches the Rfam family "tRNA". Rfam says of the family: Transfer RNA (tRNA) molecules are approximately 80 nucleotides in length. Their secondary structure includes four short double-helical elements and three loops (D, anti-codon, and T loops). Lineage: Bacteria; Pseudomonadati; Myxococcota; Myxococcia. The record is from RNAcentral.
GCCCUCGUAGCUCAGAGGAUAGAGCACAGGAUUCCUAAUCCUGGUGUCGGACGUUCGAGUCGUCUCGGGGGCACCA